Molecule: long non-coding RNA, 262 nt
Organism: Acipenser ruthenus (sterlet)
Lineage: Eukaryota; Metazoa; Chordata; Actinopteri; Acipenseriformes; Acipenseridae
Exons: 3
Source: RefSeq, a predicted model, not a curated record
CUUAAAGCACCAGCUGUUCAUUUUAUGGAUAUGAAGAAGACAGACUCGUGUGUUUCUGUGUUUAUAAACAUUGUCCCGCAGGAUCACAUGGCUAAACAUGAAUCCGGAGCUGUCGCCAAGGGCCAGCACAAAACCGGAUCAACACUGCACUAAAACUGUCACGAACUAUAAUAAAUUGUUAUCACCCACUACGAGCACUACUGCACGCACCAGGAUGGGUGAUUGUGGCAAGUAUUAUUGUGGGGCAGAUAACUUGUCUUUA